UAAGAAGGUGAGCUAUUCUAACAAAUAUGGAAUAUUGUAAACCAGAUGCAAUGCUAAAUAGCCUCAAAUAGUAGAUGAUUGUGCUUCAAACUUAAAGUUCAAUCUCUCUCAGUCUCCAAUUGUAUUCACAAAAAUCCUCUUCUAACAGCUCCUCGCGGUUUAUAAGCUACCAUGGUCACGGCCAAUUAGGGAAUACUAUCAUCUGGUGGCCUUGGCACCUCCCUUUCAAUCCAAAUCAGCUACAGCUAAAUGAAACCAAAAGCAAAGCUUGAAAGCUCAAUUCCUAGGAACCUUUUCUGUUAGUCAAAAGUAAAUACAAUUUUUUGAAAAG
RNAcentral lists this long non-coding RNA (331 nucleotides) under Panax ginseng (ginseng). RNAcentral's name for it is "long non-coding RNA (PGIN_LNC018708)". The record is from RNAcentral. Lineage: Eukaryota; Viridiplantae; Streptophyta; Magnoliopsida; Apiales; Araliaceae.